GCGGGUGUCGUAUAAUGGCUAAUAUGCCUGCCUUCCAAGCAAGGGACGCGAGUUCGAUUCUCGCCACCCGCACCA
Molecule: transfer RNA, 75 nt
Filed under: Candidatus Saccharimonadota bacterium
Lineage: Bacteria; Candidatus Saccharimonadota
Description: tRNA-Gly
Rfam family: tRNA
About the family: Transfer RNA (tRNA) molecules are approximately 80 nucleotides in length. Their secondary structure includes four short double-helical elements and three loops (D, anti-codon, and T loops). Further hydrogen bonds mediate the characteristic L-shaped molecular structure. tRNAs have two regions of fundamental functional importance: the anti-codon, which is responsible for specific mRNA codon recognition, and the 3' end, to which the tRNAs corresponding amino acid is attached (by aminoacyl-tRNA synthetases). tRNAs cope with the degeneracy of the genetic code in two manners: having more than one tRNA (with a specific anti-codon) for a particular amino acid; and 'wobble' base-pairing, i.e. permitting non-standard base-pairing at the 3rd anti-codon position.
Source: RNAcentral